AUGACCAACAACUUCUUGACCACCAUACGGAGCCUCAAGCUGAUCGAGGGGUGCAAGGCCGCGCAAAUCUACCCCUUCAACUCCGCGGCCUCCACGUCUGGCGGCUCCGGGGAUGGAGGGGGCGGGGCCAAGCUGCUCCCGCUGCCGCCGCCGCGCAGCGUCUCCCUGAUGUCCGCGUCGCUCUGCUACCCGCACGCGCCCGCCACUUCGGGGGCCUUCUCUUCCGAGUCGACCCUCCCCUGCGGCCUCCCGGCGGCCGCCGCGCUCGAGCCGGCGCUUGACGCGUGCCUUCGCCCCGUUGACCAUGUCUCGGCGCUCGCGGCGUCGUUCCGGCGGAUGUCGUCGGCCGAGACGAAAGGCGACGACCUCUGCGAUGUGUACCUGGAGCAGCACGCGCUGUUCCACGCGCUCGGGGACCCCCGGCUGCUGCGCCGCGCGCUCCGUGCCGCGCGCGUCCACGCCACCGACUCGCACCGCCGCGUCGUGCUCGCCGCCUGGCUCCGGCACGAGCGCCGGGAGGACGAGUUCGACCCGAUGCCGCCGCCUCUCGAUCCCUGCGGCCCAACGACCCCGCUCCUCGAGUGCCCCCGCUCCGCGGUCUUCGCCACGGAGUCCUCCGGCGUGGAUCCCGUCUGCCCCUGCCGCCGCACUCCACCUCCUCCUCCUCGCCCUCCGCGCUUGAGGCGCGACACAAUUUUGAGGCGCAACGCAUCGAUCGCCUUCGAUGAGAGCGAGGAAGAAGAAGAAGAUGAGACCAAUGACUUGUGGUUCGUCAUCGGCCAGGAGGAGGUGGCGUGCGAGCGUUCCUGCAUCGCCGCGCUAGCGAAGCCGCUCAACACGCUCCUCUACGGCGGGUUCGCCGAGGCGCGCCGCGACCACAUUGACUUCAGCCGCGACGGCAUCUCGGCGCGUGGCAUGCGCGCCGUCGCCGCCUACAGCCGACACGGCCGCCUCGACGACUUCCCUCCGGACACCAUGCUCGAGCUCCUCGCCUUCGCCAACAAGUUCUGCUGCGAUGGCCUCAAGGUCGCCUGCGACAACAAGCUCGCCUCCAUGGUGCGCGGCGUGGACGAAGCCCUCUCCCUCAUCGACCUCGGCCUCGAGGAGGCCGCCCAUCUCCUCGUCGCCACCUGCCUCCAGGCCUUCCUGCGGGAGCUCCCCAAGUCGCUGUCCCACCCCGAGGUGGCGCGUCUGCUCUGCAGCCCGGAGGGCAGGGAGCGCCUCGACGCCGCCGGGAACGCGUCCUUCGCGCUCUACUACUUCCUCUCGUACGUCGCCAUGGAGGAGGACAUGAGGUCCAACACCACGGUGAUGCUCCUGGAGCGGCUAUGGGAAUGCGCAGAGUUGCCAUGGCACAAACAGUUGGCACUGCACCAGCUCGGGUGCGUCAUGCUGGAGCGCGGCGAGUUCAAGGACGCGCAGGAGUGGUUCGAGGAGGCCGUCGCGGAAGGCCAUGUGUACUCGCUCGCCGGAGUAGCGCGCGCCAAGUUCAAGUGCGGGCACAAGUACAUGGCCUACAAGCUGAUGAACAGGGUGGUCACGGACUACGAUCCUGCCGGGUGGAUGUACCAAGAACGCGCCGUGUACUGCGUGGGGAAGGAGAAGAUGGCUGAUCUCCGGACGGCGACGCAGCUCGACCCGACGCUGACUUACCCGUACAAGUACCGUGCCGCCGCCUUGCUGGAGGAGGACAAGAUGGAGCGUGCGCUGGAAGAGAUCGACAAGGUGCUCAGCUUCAGGAUGGCGACCGACUGCCUCGAGCUCCGGGCGUGGUUCUACCUUGUGGCUGGGGACUUCGAGGCUGCCGUGCGGGAUGUCAGGGCCAUCUUGACGCUGGAUCCGACCUACAUGAUGUUCCAUGGUAAAAUGCACGGGGAGCAGCUGAUCGAGCUCCUCCGAGGGCAAGUGCAGCAGCGGGACAUGGCGGAUUGUUGGUUGCAGCUCUACGACCGGUGGUCAGGGGUGGACGACAUCGGCUCUCUGGCAGUUGUCCAGCAGAUGCUCGCCAGGGAACCCGGGAACAGCAGCUUGCGGUUCCGGCAGUCGCUACUCCUGUUAAGGCUAAAUUGUCAGAAGGCUGCUAUGCGUAGCUUGCGGUUAGCACGGAAUAGUUCGAUUCAUGACCAUGAGAGACUUGUAUACGAAGGAUGGAUCUUAUACGACACCGGGCAUCGCGAUGAAGCACUUGAGAAGGCCGAGCAAUCACUCAGUCUCCAAAGAUCAUUCGAAGCAUUUUUCCUAAAGGCUUAUGCUCUAGGGGACUCUAGCCUUGACGUCGAAUCUGCGCUUUCUGUUGUUCAGCUUCUAGAGCAUGCUAACAGUUGUGCAUCUGACAACCUACGGAAGGGGCAAGCAUACAACAAUAUGGGGAGCAUAUAUGUGGACUGUGAUUUGCUGGAUGAGGCAACUGAGUGCUACAGCAUAGCACUGAGCAUCAAGCAUACACGGGCACACCAGGGUCUGGCUCGGGUCCAUUUCUUGAAGAAUAGGAAAAAGGCUGCAUUUGAUGAGAUGACAUCGCUCCUAAAGAUUGCCAAAAACAGCGCUUCGGCGUAUGAAAAACGGUCGGAAUAUGCCGAGCGGGACGCUGCGAAAAGUGAUCUCAAUAUGGCGACCUUGUUGGAUCCAACCAGGACCUACCCUUACAGAUACAGAGCAGCUGUUCUGAUGGACGAGAACAAGGAGGAGGAGGCGAUCGGAGAGCUGACGCAAGCGCUGGCUUUCAAGCCGGACCUCCAGCUGCUCCACCUCCGCGCGGCCUUCCAGGACUCCAUGGGCGACAGCGCGAGCACCCUGCGCGACUGCGAGGCCGCGCUGUGCAUGCACCCGGAGCACGGAGACACCCUGGAGCUCUACAACAAGGCUUCCGCCAAGGCUGAGCAAUCCGAGAGCUAG
This 2895-nucleotide ribosomal RNA is filed under the name Triticum aestivum (bread wheat). RNAcentral describes it as "partial small subunit ribosomal RNA". Lineage: Eukaryota; Viridiplantae; Streptophyta; Magnoliopsida; Poales; Poaceae. The record is from RNAcentral.